CCCUUAGAUGUUCUGGGCCGCACGCGUGCUACACUGAGUGGAUCAGCGGGUCAGGUUGCGCGAAAGCGUUUCCUAAUCUUUAAAUCCGCUCGUGAUGGGGAUUGACGGUUGCAAUUUUCUGUCAUGAACGAGGAAUACCUUGUAAGCGCGGGUCAUCAUCCCGCGCUGAAUACGUCCCUGCCCUUUGUACACACCGCCCGUCGCUCCUACCGAUUGAGUGGUCCGGUGAGGCUUUGUGAUCUGAGCGGAAAGAGCGUUUCGCUGUUUCUGCUCGGAAAACUCAGUCGAACCUUAUCAUUUAGAGGAAGGAGAAGUCGUAACA
RNAcentral lists this ribosomal RNA (322 nucleotides) under uncultured eukaryote. RNAcentral's name for it is "partial 18S ribosomal RNA". It matches the Rfam family "Eukaryotic small subunit ribosomal RNA", at positions 1470 to 1796 of the family's 1831-position model. The record is from RNAcentral.